AUGAAGGAGAAAGAAGGGCUAGAAUUUGAAGAUCAGCUAGACUAUAUGCACGCAGACCCUUGGCCCAUUUGCAAAUUCCCAUGUGAAGUCAUACAAGGUCCAUGGCCUUCUGGCAAGAUUCCUUACCACAUCCUUGGCAAUGUGCCACAUCACGACAGAAUUCUCAUAAAAGGAUGUUCCAUGCAACCAGAAAGAGCCAUGGAUAGGCUGGAUCUUCAAAACAGUGGCACCAAGGUUGAUCCCACAUGGCCGUCAGUGGAACCCAAGCACACCUUUCUCCCCAAUCCUGCCUCCCAGUCCUGCUGGACACACUUGUGUUAUCUGUGACCCACGGACCCAGUCUGAGUCACUGUGCCCCAUUAACAAAACCUGUGCCCCAUAAGAAGUGAGCAAGGCUCACGUUUUAAAGGAAUGUUCUCUCUGGACUGACUGCUAGCUGGAGUCCCUCACACUCACACCGAAUCCCCAUGGGACUACCUCAUAUUUACCACCAUGAUGCUUUCCAGAAAGCAGCGCAUAAAUCCACAAAACUGAUUAAACAAGAAAGGGCCACUUUUUCUCUGAGGAGCUUGCUGGUUAGAAAUAAGGGAGACUGGGAUUCCAGAGUCCAGGAAAGAACACUAAGUGGAGACCCCAGUGUUUUUUCUAAUGAAAACAAAUGUGCAUACGAACCUUCGUGAAGUAAAAUGUUCGCUCUCCAGGUACUACUUUGGUUGGAUUUUGCUGUUUUGUUAACUGGACUACUUUCAGCAUGAAGCUGAUACUGUGAAAAUCCCCUUCCCAGUGCGUCCUGGAGGCGUUCGGAUCCACAGGAAUUCUGAAGCUGUGGUGUUGUCACACAUCUAUUUAUGCAUUUAGGAUGUUCAAACGAUGCGUUAUUUAUAGAAAGCUAGUGGAUUUUUGAACAAAGAAAGUUCUAAUUAAAUCUUCACUUUUUGCCAUGCUGUAGCUGAUGGUCAACGGACACUCCUAUUUUAAUCACAUCUAUUUAUACCGGCUUCUGUUGUUUGUAUCUUCAUGUAACUGAACCCAGGCACUUGGCAGCCUGACUUAAUAAAAUAGAUUUGGAAAC
RNAcentral lists this long non-coding RNA (1072 nucleotides) under Mustela putorius furo (domestic ferret). Its description in RNAcentral is "lncRNA (ENSMPUG00000029901.1)". Lineage: Eukaryota; Metazoa; Chordata; Mammalia; Carnivora; Mustelidae. The record is from RNAcentral.